RNAcentral lists this transfer RNA (73 nucleotides) under bacterium. RNAcentral's name for it is "tRNA-Pro". It matches the Rfam family "tRNA". From Rfam's summary of the family: Transfer RNA (tRNA) molecules are approximately 80 nucleotides in length. Their secondary structure includes four short double-helical elements and three loops (D, anti-codon, and T loops). Further hydrogen bonds mediate the characteristic L-shaped molecular structure. tRNAs have two regions of fundamental functional importance: the anti-codon, which is responsible for specific mRNA codon recognition, and the 3' end, to which the tRNAs corresponding amino acid is attached (by aminoacyl-tRNA synthetases). tRNAs cope with the degeneracy of the genetic code in two manners: having more than one tRNA (with a specific anti-codon) for a particular amino acid; and 'wobble' base-pairing, i.e. permitting non-standard base-pairing at the 3rd anti-codon position. The record is from RNAcentral.
CGGGGUGUAGCUCAGUUGGUAGAGCGCGCGGAUGGGGUCCGUGAGGUCGCAAGUUCGAAUCUUGUCACUCCGA